AGCCCGCGUUUUGCACGUUCGGAUAUUUCGAGAUCGUCGUGACAAGUUAAGGCAAGACCAUUUUUUUUAAAAAUUAUUUUAAGGUACAAGUUGUUAGGAAUGUUAUUUAUGAACAUUGGUAGUAUGGAAAUAUUUGGAAAGGCCAUGGUAAACAGAGAAAUUUGCAAAAUGACCGAUGGAAAUAAUGUGGAAGGUUAAGGGCGAAGUGGUAAUAUUGAGAAAAGUCGAAGAGCAAAAAGGUAAUUUACACAAGGUUCAUGAAAGUUCCAAAGAGGCCAUAUUGGCCAUGUGAUAAAAAAAAAAAAAAAAAAAAAAGAAAGAUGACCAAAAAUAAAGCCAUCUUUUUCCUAGAAAUUGAAGGAGAAUUCUAGAGAGAGGCAUGUGCCUCUCACAUGAUUGUGGAAGUAUAUAUAUAAGAGAGGGGCGGUCAUCCUUAGAAAAGAAAGAAGAUGAAGAACAAAAAAAAAAAAAGGAAAAGCAAGCAUAUUCGGCCAAAAAUUAUUUUCUUCUUGUAUUCCUACCAAUUCAAGGGCCCUCUACAACGUGGUGUAAUUAUUUCGAAAGAUAAGUCGUUCGUUUCAUCAAGUUAACACUUGAGCCAAGUGAAGAAGUUGGGAGAAAAAGAUUCCGGGCGAAACGGGAAUUGAAUCUGGACGAGCGUAAAGCGCAACUCAGGUACUCCCAGAUGAGCUGAAGUUAUUAUAGAAGAUGUUCCAGCGGAGAUGGCAAGCCCCAUUCUCCCGGAAGGCUGCCAAGUCAGAGUUUGUUUGUUAUGAUUUCUGGGUUUGUGUUAGAGACUUUGCAGACAGCGUCGUGGGUAUUGUUAGUCAGUCUGUAAGCGGCUCCGUCAGUCGAUAUGUCGGUCUGUGUUAUGUACUGAAUUAUGUAUGAUUAUAGAUUUGUUCGGCUUGGAAGCUACG
Lycium barbarum (goji berry) is the source of this 920-nucleotide long non-coding RNA. RefSeq lists it as uncharacterized. The record is from RefSeq and is a predicted model, not a curated record. The transcript has 3 exons. Lineage: Eukaryota; Viridiplantae; Streptophyta; Magnoliopsida; Solanales; Solanaceae.